Molecule: ribosomal RNA, 990 nt
Filed under: Candidatus Phytoplasma solani
Lineage: Bacteria; Bacillati; Mycoplasmatota; Mollicutes; Acholeplasmatales; Acholeplasmataceae
Description: bacterial SSU rRNA
Rfam family: Bacterial small subunit ribosomal RNA
Source: RNAcentral
AAGGCAUCUUUUUAUUUUUAAAAGACCUAGCAAUAGGUAUGCUUAGGGAAGAGCUUGCGUCACAUUAGUUAGUUGGUGGGGUAAUGGCCUACCAAGACGAUGAUGUGUAGCCGGGCUGAGAGGUCGAACGGCCACAUUGGGACUGAGACACGGCCCAAACUCCUACGGGAGGCAGCAGUAAGGAAUUUUCGGCAAUGGAGGAAACUCUGACCGAGCAAUGCCGCGUGAACGAUGAAGUAUUUCGGUACGUAAAGUUCUUUUAUUAGGGAAGAAAAGAUGGUGGAAAAACCAUUAUGACGGUACCUAAUGAAUAAGCCCCGGCUAACUAUGUGCCAGCAGCCGCGGUAAUACAUAGGGGGCAAGCGUUAUCCGGAAUUAUUGGGCGUAAAGGGUGCGUAGGCGGUUAAAUAAGUUUAUGGUCUAAGUGCAACGCUCAACGUUGUGAUGCUAUAAAAACUGUUUAGCUAGAGUUGGAUAGAGGCAAGUGGAAUUCCGUGUGUAGUGGUAAAAUGCGUAAAUAUACGGAGGAACACCAGAAGCGAAGGCGGCUUGCUGGGUCUUAACUGACGCUGAGGCACGAAAGCGUGGGGAGCAAACAGGAUUAGAUACCCUGGUAGUCCACGCCCUAAACGAUGAGUACUAAACGUUGGAUAAAACCAGUGUUGAAGUUAACACAUUAAGUACUCCGCCUGAGUAGUACGUACGCAAGUAUGAAACUUAAAGGAAUUGACGGGACUCCGCACAAGCGGUGGAUCAUGUUGUUUAAUUCGAAGGUACCCGAAAAACCUCACCAGGUCUUGACAUGCUUUUGCAAAGCUGUAGAAAUACAGUGGAGGUUAUCAGAAGCACAGGUGGUGCAUGGUUGUCGUCAGCUCGUGUCGUGAGAUGUUGGGUUAAGUCCCGCAACGAGCGCAACCCUUGUUGUUAAUUGCCAUCAUUAAGUUGGGGACUUUAGCAAGACUGCCAAUGAUAAAUUGGAGGAAGGUGGGG